RNAcentral lists this ribosomal RNA (301 nucleotides) under uncultured bacterium. RNAcentral describes it as "partial 16S ribosomal RNA". It matches the Rfam family "Bacterial small subunit ribosomal RNA", at positions 509 to 807 of the family's 1533-position model. The record is from RNAcentral.
CAGUAGCCGCGGUAAUACAGAGGGUGCAAGCGUUAAUCGGAAUUACUGGGCGUAAAGCGCGCGUAGGUGGUUCGCCAAGUUGGAUGUGAAAUCCCCGGGCUCAACCUGGGAACUGCAUCCAAAACUGGCGAGCUAGAGUAUGGUAGAGGGUGGUGGAAUUUCCUGUGUAGCGGUGAAAUGCGUAGAUAUAGGAAGGAACACCAGUGGCGAAGGCGACUACCUGGACUGAUACUGACACUGAGGUGCGAAAGCGUGGGGAGCAAACAGGAUUAGAUACCCCUGUAGUCCCUGUCUCUUAUAC